Molecule: ribosomal RNA, 293 nt
Filed under: uncultured eukaryote
Lineage: Eukaryota
Description: partial 18S ribosomal RNA
Rfam family: Eukaryotic small subunit ribosomal RNA
Source: RNAcentral
GGUUGAUCCUGCCAGUAGUCAUAUGCUUGUCUCAAAGAUUAAGCCAUGCAUGUCUAAGUAUAGCAUUUAUACUGUGAAACUGCGAAUGGCUCAUUAAAUCAGUUAUAAUUUAUUUGAUAAUACCUUACUACUUGGAUAACCGUGGUAAUUCUAGAGCUAAUACAUGCUAAAAACCCCGACUUCUGGAAGGGGUGUAUUUAUUAGAUAAAAAACCAAUCGGGGAAACCCGUCUACUGGUGAAUCAUGAUAACUAUUCGAAUCGCAUGACUUUAUGUCGGCGAUGGUUCAUUCAA